GGCCUGUCUGGACCUGCCCAUGCUCUGUGCCUCUUGUCUGUGUGACCCAUUCCUGCAUUACUUCUGAGGUCCUUGCCUGAAUGGCAGAACCCAAGGACUCACCCAUGGAAAGUUACUCCUAGACUGCAGAGAGAAAGCGCACAAGCAAGGGAGCGGCAGGCAGAGGGAGAAGCAGGCUUCCUCCUGAGCAAGGAGCCUGAUGUGGGACUCGACUUCAUCCCUAGGACCCUGGAAUCACGACCUGAGCUGAAAGCAUACAAUAAACCAACUGAGCCACCCUGAGCUGAAGACAGACACUUAACCGAUGGAGCCACCCAGGCAUCUCCUCUUCAUGGUUUUAAAAUGAACAAUGUGUUUGAGGCAGGUUUGGGGAAAGUUAUUUUACAGAAUGAGA
RNAcentral lists this long non-coding RNA (394 nucleotides) under Mustela putorius furo (domestic ferret). Its description in RNAcentral is "lncRNA (ENSMPUG00000025574.1)". Lineage: Eukaryota; Metazoa; Chordata; Mammalia; Carnivora; Mustelidae. The record is from RNAcentral.